UGGGGAAUUUUGGACAAUGGGCGAAAGCCUGAUCCAGCAAUGCCGCGUGUGUGAAGAAGGCCUUCGGGUUGUAAAGCACUUUUGUCCGGAAAGAAAUCCUUGGCUCUAAUACAGUCGGGGGAUGACGGUACCGGAAGAAUAAGCACCGGCUAACUACGUGCCAGCAGCCGCGGUAAUACGUAGGGUGCAAGCGUUAAUCGGAAUUACUGGGCGUAAAGCGUGCGCAGGCGGUUUGCUAAGACCGAUGUGAAAUCCCCGGGCUCAACCUGGGAACUGCAUUGGUGACUGGCAGGCUAGAGUAUGGCAGAGGGGGGUAGAAUUCCACGUGUAGCAGUGAAAUGCGUAGAGAUGUGGAGGAAUACCGAUGGCGAAGGCAGCCCCCUGGGCCAAUACUGACGCUCAUGCACGAAAAGCGUGGGGAGCAAAACAGGAUUAGAUACCCUGGUAGUCCACGCCCUAAAACGAUGUCAACUAGUUGUUGGGGAUUCAUUUCCUUAGUAACGUAGCUAACGCGUGAAGUUGACCGCCUGGGGAGUACGGUCGCAAAGAUUAAAAACUCAAAUGAAUUGACGGGGUCAUAGCUGUUUCCU
Molecule: ribosomal RNA, 590 nt
Filed under: uncultured bacterium
Lineage: Bacteria
Description: partial 16S ribosomal RNA
Rfam family: Bacterial small subunit ribosomal RNA
Source: RNAcentral